GAUGAACGCUGGCGGCGUGCCUAAUACAUGCAAGUCGAGCGAACAGAUGAGGAGCUUGCUCCUCUGACGUUAGCGGCGGACGGGUGAGUAACACGUGGAUAACCUACCUAUAAGACUGGGAUAACUUCGGGAAACCGGAGCUAAUACCGGAUAAUAUAUUGAACCGCAUGGUUCAAUAGUGAAAGGCGGUUUUGCUGUCACUUAUAGAUGGAUCCGCGCCGCAUUAGCUAGUUGGUAAGGUAACGGCUUACCAAGGCAACGAUGCGUAGCCGACCUGAGAGGGUGAUCGGCCACACUGGAACUGAGACACGGCCCAGACUCCUACGGGAGGCAGCAGUAGGGAAUCUUCCGCAAUGGGCGAAAGCCUGACGGAGCAACGCCGCGUGAGUGAUGAAGGUCUUCGGAUCGUAAAACUCUGUUAUUAGGGAAGAACAAAUGUGUAAGUAACUAUGCACGUCUUGACGGUACCUAAUCAGAAAGCCACGGCUAACUACGUG
This 497-nucleotide ribosomal RNA is filed under the name uncultured bacterium. RNAcentral describes it as "partial 16S ribosomal RNA". It matches the Rfam family "Bacterial small subunit ribosomal RNA", at positions 28 to 507 of the family's 1533-position model. The record is from RNAcentral.